RNAcentral lists this ribosomal RNA (397 nucleotides) under uncultured bacterium. Its description in RNAcentral is "partial 16S ribosomal RNA". It matches the Rfam family "Bacterial small subunit ribosomal RNA", at positions 523 to 918 of the family's 1533-position model. The record is from RNAcentral.
AUACGUAGGUGGCAAGCGUUGUCCGGAAUUAUUGGGCGUAAAGCGCGCGCAGGUGGUUCCUUAAGUCUGAUGUGAAAGCCCCCGGCUCAACCGGGGAGGGUCAUUGGAAACUGGGGAACUUGAGUGCAGAAGAGGAUAGUGGAAUUCCAAGUGUAGCGGUGAAAUGCGUAGAGAUUUGGAGGAACACCAGAGGCGAAGGCGACUGUCUGGUCUGUAACUGACACUGAGGCGCGAAAGCGUGGGGAGCAAACAGGAUUAGAUACCCUGGUAGUCCACGCCGUAAACGAUGAGUGCUAAGUGUUGGGGGGUUUCCGCCCCUCAGUGCUGCAGCUAACGCAUUAAGCACUCCGCCUGGGGAGUACGGUCGCAAGACUGAAACUCAAAUGAAUUGACGGGG